This 471-nucleotide ribosomal RNA is filed under the name uncultured bacterium. Its description in RNAcentral is "bacterial SSU rRNA". It matches the Rfam family "Bacterial small subunit ribosomal RNA", at positions 28 to 507 of the family's 1533-position model. The record is from RNAcentral.
GACGAACGCUGGCGGCGUGCUUAAAACAUGCAAGUCGAACGAAUGAGGCAAGGUGCUUGCACCGAGCCGAGUUAGUGGCGGACGGGUGAGUAAUGCAUGAGCAACCUGCCCUUCAGUGGGGGACAACAGUUGGAAACGACUGCUAAUACCGCAUAAUACUUCCGAAAGGCAUCUUUUGGAAGUCAAAGAUUUAUUGCUGAAGGAUGGGCUCAUGUCUGAUUAGCUAGUUGGUGAGGUAACGGCUCACCAAGGCGACGAUCAGUAGCCGGUCUGAGAGGAUGAACGGCCACAUUGGGACUGAGAUACGGCCCAGACUCCUACGGGAGGCAGCAGUGGGGAAUAUUGGGCAAUGGGCGAAAGCCUGACCCAGCAAUGCCGCGUGAAGGAAGAAGGCCUUCGGGUUGUAAACUUCUUUACCGUAGGACGAAUAAAUAGACGGUACUCGGCGAAUAAGCUCCGGCUAACUACGUG